This is a long non-coding RNA of Bombina bombina (fire-bellied toad), 1159 nucleotides long. RefSeq lists it as uncharacterized. Lineage: Eukaryota; Metazoa; Chordata; Amphibia; Anura; Bombinatoridae. The record is from RefSeq and is a predicted model, not a curated record. The transcript is spliced from 3 exons.
GCCUGGAGUAUUUGUCCUAAUGUUCUCUCUUUAACUAAAAGCACUGGUCCUCAAAGAAAUGGAUCCCAUAGUUUUAUACAUAUUUUUUAGAUUACUUUACUAAUAUAGGGAUCACAAUUAUGGAAGGAAAGGGUUGAGGAGAAACCCGGAUGCUGAAGGAUUUUACGAUCUUUUUCCUGUGAGCAACAAAGCAAAGUACUGGCAAUAAAACCAUAAAGAUGAGAACAGACGAAAAAGGGUCGUUUAUUGCCCUAGCAUAACACUAGCAGCAUUCCCUCGAGUGCAACCAACAAAAAAUAAAGUUUAUACCAAAAUAAAGAGACCAUUUGAGGCUGGAAUUGCACAUCCAGUGUGUGGGACACAUAUAUACUAAGAAGAUUUUCACUUGCCAUCUGGAAAUAAAGUUCUUCAAUAUCUUUAAAGAACUUCCUGAAUUCGGGUACUUCCAAAAUAUACAAAGGAUUAUAAAAAGAGAUAUCUGGAAAACAUCGAAUAUGUGCUUGGGGUGAAAGUACAUAGGGUAAUUUUCAUUGAAGAUGUUCAGCACAAAACAACGUCUGCUGUUUUAUUUCCGAUCUGCUAAAAUGAUGCUGUGAAAGUUCAUAUAAUAUUUGUUGCAUUUAUAGUUUUAAUAUGAUACACAAAACAUCUGAAGUCCUUAAACAAUCCGGAGUUUACGACUUUGCUGCUAAACUUGAACCCAAUAAUACUUUGCAUGUGAAUGAUUUUUUUUUUUUCAUACUACAUUAUAUUAGUCACAAGUUAAAAGCAAAAACAUUAUAACACUUUCAAUCCACUUGACUUUACUGAAUAGUAACAGCAGCAUAAACUAAUUGACAAAACGUUAUUAAAUAUAAAAGAAGAAGGUAACCUUACAAUGAAAAAUUGCAUAUACAUUAACCUUAAGGGACUUUAUUCUUAUUUACAGUCUUGAAAGCUGCUGUCUCAUAUCAAAUUACAUGAAAGAUUUAUUAAAUAUUACAACACCACGUUGUCUUGAAUAGAGGUCUUCAUAUUAUGCUCCUUACAGUUCAAACACAAGUAUUAAAAGUUAAGUACCAACCCUAUAUUAGUCAUUUGUCUUUUAUAAUGAUUUUAAACUUAAAUGUGGUCAGACUAUUGUGUUCAUCUUAAAUAAACUAUGAUUUAUGCAAACAUA